This 407-nucleotide ribosomal RNA is filed under the name uncultured bacterium. RNAcentral describes it as "partial 16S ribosomal RNA". It matches the Rfam family "Bacterial small subunit ribosomal RNA", at positions 30 to 526 of the family's 1533-position model. The record is from RNAcentral.
AUUGAACGCUGGCGGCAGGCCUAACACAUGCAAGUCGAACGGAGCGGUGGACGGGUGAGUAAUGCCUAGGAAUCUGCCUGGUAGUGGGGGAGAAUGACUGGAAAAGGGCGUUAAUAACACCUACUACCAGCUGAUCCUAGGUGGGAUUAGCUAGUUGGUGGGGUAAAGGCCUACCAAGGCGACGAUCCGUAACUGGUCUGAGAGGAUGAUCAGUCACACUGGAACUGAGACACGGUCCAGACUCCUACGGGAGGCAGCAGUGGGGAAUAUUGCACAAUGGGCGAAAGCCUGAUCCAGCCAUGCCGCGUGUGUGAAGAAGGUCUUCGGAUUGUAAAGCACUUUAAGUUGGGAGGCGUUACCCACAGAAUAAGCACCGGCUAACUCCGUGCCAGCAGCCGCGGUAAUAC